This 469-nucleotide long non-coding RNA is filed under the name Physcomitrium patens. RNAcentral describes it as "long non-coding RNA (PPAT_LNC004757)". Lineage: Eukaryota; Viridiplantae; Streptophyta; Bryopsida; Funariales; Funariaceae. The record is from RNAcentral.
AAGAUUGAUUAUGGAUGGAAGAUUAAGAUUGUUGUUUAUUGAGAGUUGUGUGUGUGUGUUUUGACAGAGGAAGUCUGUGAUUAUAGGAAUUUUGUGAAUUCAGAUUGGUUGUAGUGAAGUCUGUUAUUUUUUGUGUUGGAUGGAAUUUAUUGAGUUUUGAGCAGUCUUUUGAGAGUGCACGAUUGCAGAUUGUGGUUAUCAAUUGAUGAAGGAGUAUUGUUACAGGGAGAAAGUAUUGUAGUAUUUCUUAGUAUUUUAGUAGUUCAGAAUACAAUUAAUUGUGUGAUCCUAAUAAGUGAAACUCAUGCGCUUAGUCUUUCCAUGUGUUUGAAUUCUCCUAUAUAGAUUUAUUUUGGAAAGAAUUGUAGAAUAAGUAAAACAAUAAUCACAGUAUCUCUGCCGCUUGUUGUUGAUAUAGAAAAUAUGAAGCAUACAAUGUUGUCACGUUCGGUGGUAUAGUUGGCAAUGG